AGAGUUUGAUCCUGGCUCAGGACGAACGCUGGCGGCGUGCUUAACACAUGCAAGUCGAGCGAUGAAGCUUCCUUCGGGAAGUGGAUUAGCGGCGGACGGGUGAGUAACACGUGGGUAACCUGCCUCAAAGUGGGGGAUAGCCUUCCGAAAGGAAGAUUAAUACCGCAUAAUAUAAGAGAAUCGCAUGAUUUUCUUAUCAAAGAUUUAUUGCUUUGAGAUGGACCCGCGGCGCAUUAGCUAGUUGGUAAGGUAACGGCUUACCAAGGCAACGAUGCGUAGCCGACCUGAGAGGGUGAUCGGCCACAUUGGAACUGAGACACGGUCCAGACUCCUACGGGAGGCAGCAGUGGGGAAUAUUGCGCAAUGGGGGAAACCCUGACGCAGCAACGCCGCGUGGGUGAUGAAGGUCUUCGGAUUGUAAAGCCCUGUUUUCUAGGACGAUAAUGACGGUACUAGAGGAGGAAGCCACGGCUAACUACGUGCCAGCAGCCGCGGUAAUACGUAGGUGGCGAGCGUUGUCCGGAUUUACUGGGCGUAAAGGGUGCGUAGGCGGAUGUUUAAGUGGGAUGUGAAAUCCCCGGGCUUAACCUGGGGGCUGCAUUCCAAACUGGAUAUCUAGAGUGCAGGAGAGGAAAGCGGAAUUCCUAGUGUAGCGGUGAAAUGCGUAGAGAUUAGGAAGAA
This 681-nucleotide ribosomal RNA is filed under the name Clostridium botulinum CDC54085. RNAcentral describes it as "bacterial SSU rRNA". It matches the Rfam family "Bacterial small subunit ribosomal RNA", at positions 8 to 706 of the family's 1533-position model. Lineage: Bacteria; Bacillati; Bacillota; Clostridia; Eubacteriales; Clostridiaceae. The record is from RNAcentral.